RNAcentral lists this ribosomal RNA (253 nucleotides) under uncultured bacterium. RNAcentral's name for it is "partial 16S ribosomal RNA". It matches the Rfam family "Bacterial small subunit ribosomal RNA", at positions 524 to 776 of the family's 1533-position model. The record is from RNAcentral.
UACGUAGGGGGCAAGCGUUGUCCGGAAUCAUUGGGCGUAAAGCGCGUGUAGGCGGCCCGAUAAGUCCGCUGUGAAAGUCCAGGGCUCAACCCUGGGAUGCCGGUGGAUACUGUCGGGCUCGAGUCCGGAAGAGGCGAGUGGAAGUCCUGGUGUAGCGGUGAAAUGCGCAGAUAUCAGGAGGAACACCAAUGGCGAAGGCAGCUCGCUGGGACGUGACUGACGCUGAGACGCGAAAGCGUGGGGAGCAAACAGG